Molecule: transfer RNA, 73 nt
Filed under: Bos taurus (domestic cattle)
Lineage: Eukaryota; Metazoa; Chordata; Mammalia; Artiodactyla; Bovidae
Rfam family: tRNA
About the family: Transfer RNA (tRNA) molecules are approximately 80 nucleotides in length. Their secondary structure includes four short double-helical elements and three loops (D, anti-codon, and T loops).
Source: Rfam by way of RNAcentral
UCUCUCAUGAUCCAGUGGUUAAGACUCUAUGCUCCCAAUGUAGGAAGCCCGGGUUAGAUCCCUGGUUGGAGAA